UAAUAUUUUAGAAGUAAAUUUAAUUAAUUUAAUAAAAUUUAAUUUUGGUUUAAAAUUUAUUUAAUUUUUAUUUUAUAUGUAAAUUUUUGUAUUAAUAAAAUUUUUAUUUAAAAUAAUUUAAAUUUUACAGUAAAUGAUUUUAUAAAUUAAUGAAAAUUAGAUUUAGUAAUUAAUUAUAGAAUAGAAGAAAUUUGUGCCAGCAUUUGCGGUUAUACAGAUUAUUUAAUUGAAUUAUAUUAGUAUUAAAUAAAAUGUAAUUUAAUAGAUUUAAAUUUAAUAAUUAAAGUGAAAUUUAUUAUUAAAAUAGAUUUAUUUUUAUGAAUAUUUGAUUUUUGAAAUUUAAAUAAUAAACUAGGAUUAGAUACCCUAUUAUUUUAAAUGUAAAAUUUAUACUAAGGGAUUAAAAGUUAUGUUCUUUAAAUUUAAAAAAUUUGGCGGUAUUUUAGUCUAUUUAGAGGAAUUUGUUCUAUAAUUGAUAGUCCACGAUAAAUUUUACUUAAUUUAUUAAUUAAUAUAUCGUCGUUAUCAAAAUAUUUUUUUAGAAAAAUAAAUUUUAAGAAAUGGAAAUAAAUAAUAUUUCAGAUCAAGAUGUUGUUUAUAAUUAUGAAGAAAUGAGUUACAAUAAAUUAAUUUAUAUGGAUAUCUUAUUGAAAAAUGAGGUUAAAAGUGGAUUUAAUAGUAAUUUUUAAAAAAUUUUAAAGAUGAUUUAAGCACUAAAAUAUGCACAUAUCGCCCGUCGCUCUUAUUUAUUAAAUAAGAUAAGUCGUAACAAAGUAGAUGUACUGGAAGGUGUAUCUAGAAAGCA
RNAcentral lists this ribosomal RNA (805 nucleotides) under Sininocellia chikun. Its description in RNAcentral is "12S ribosomal RNA". The record is from RNAcentral. Lineage: Eukaryota; Metazoa; Arthropoda; Insecta; Raphidioptera; Inocelliidae.